UACGUAGGGGGCAAGCGUUGUCCGGAUUUACUGGGCGUAAAGCGCGUGUAGGCGGUAACGAAAGUCCGGUGUGAAAGCCCCCCGCUCAACGGGGGAAGGUCGCUGGAAACUGCGUUACUUGAGGGCGGCAGAGGGAAGUGGAAUUGCUGGUGUAGCGGUGAAAUGCGUAGAGAUCAGCAGGAACACCCGUGGCGAAGGCGGCUUCCUGGGCCGCGCCUGACGCUGAGACGCGAAAGCGUGGGGAGCGAACAGG
This 253-nucleotide ribosomal RNA is filed under the name uncultured bacterium. RNAcentral's name for it is "partial 16S ribosomal RNA". It matches the Rfam family "Bacterial small subunit ribosomal RNA", at positions 524 to 776 of the family's 1533-position model. The record is from RNAcentral.